CACCAUCUGCACAUCAUUUCUACCUAUACCACUCUAUUUUAAUCAAAUUGUCUAGUGAGUUCCCUUUUCAAUUUUACUUGGUGUUUUCAUCUAAUUUCAACAUAAAUUUACAUGACAAUUUGUGGGUUUGCGUAUUUAUUUGCGUGUGUUGGUUUUAAAAAUUGAUUUUUCAGUUGUUUUUGUUUGUGGGGUUAGAGAUGGCGGAAAAAGAUGAAGCUAUGGAUGCUCUAAAGAGGGAGGCUAUGGAUUUGGUAAUCCACUCUUUUACUUCAUAGAUUCUCUCUGUAUUUUCUACUUUUGUGUUGGUUUUUUUGUUUUUUUGAUGAAGAAAACUGGUGAAAAAGGGAAGAACAUCUUGUCUUGAUGGGUUUUAUGGUGGCAGUGAUAAGCGACGUCACAAUGAUGAGAUGAUGAUGGUGGGUGGGGUGAGCGAACAGUACCUUUUUUUAAUUUUUAGGGUGGGCUAGCUUUUUUAUUUUUGAC
RNAcentral lists this long non-coding RNA (483 nucleotides) under Olea europaea (common olive). RNAcentral describes it as "long non-coding RNA (OEUR_LNC008512)". Lineage: Eukaryota; Viridiplantae; Streptophyta; Magnoliopsida; Lamiales; Oleaceae. The record is from RNAcentral.